Molecule: ribosomal RNA, 253 nt
Filed under: uncultured bacterium
Lineage: Bacteria
Description: partial 16S ribosomal RNA
Rfam family: Bacterial small subunit ribosomal RNA
Source: RNAcentral
UACGUAGGGACCGAGCGUUGUCCGGAAUCAUUGGGCGUAAAGCGCGCGUAGGUGGCCAUGUAAGUCCGCUGUGAAAGUCAAAGGCUCAACCUUUGAAAGCCGGUGGAUACUGCAUGGCUAGAGUACGGAAGAGGCGAGUGGAAUUCCUGGUGUAGCGGUGGAAUGCGCAGAUAUCAGGGGGAACACCAAUAGCGAAGGCAGCUCGCUGGGACGUUACUGACACUGAGGCGCGAAAGCGUGGGGAGCGAACAGG